This 459-nucleotide ribosomal RNA is filed under the name uncultured bacterium. RNAcentral describes it as "partial 16S ribosomal RNA". It matches the Rfam family "Bacterial small subunit ribosomal RNA", at positions 338 to 795 of the family's 1533-position model. The record is from RNAcentral.
CCUACGGGUGGCAGCAGUGAGGAAUAUUGGUCAAUGGCCGGGAGGCUGAACCAGCCAAGUCGCGUGAGGGAAGACGGCCCUACGGGUUGUAAACCCCUUUUGCCAGGGAGCAAGGUGCAGGUCGGGACUUGCUGUCAGCGGAUCUCAAGAAAAAGCAUCGGCUAACGCCGCUCCAGCAGCCGCGGUAAUACGGAGGAUGAGAGCGUAAUCCGGAUUUAUUGGGUUUAAAGGGUGUGCAGGCGGAGGCACAAGUCAGCGGUAAAAUCGCGGGGCUAAACCCCGCCCCGCCGUUGAAACUGUGUCGCUUGAGUGCGCGAAGGGUAGGCGGAAUGCGUGGUGUAGCGGUGAAAUGCAUAGAUAUCACGCAGAACUCCGAUCGCGAAGGCAGCCUACCGGCGCGCAACUGACGCUCAUGCACGAAAGCGUGGGUAUCGAACAGGAUUAGAUACCCUUGUAGUC